GGUUGCUUAGCUCAGUUGGUUAGAGUGCUGCUUUGACAUGGCAGAGGUCGCUGGUUCGAAUCCAGCAGCAACCACCA
RNAcentral lists this transfer RNA (77 nucleotides) under Bacillota bacterium. RNAcentral describes it as "Firmicutes bacterium (anaerobic digester metagenome) tRNA-Val". It matches the Rfam family "tRNA". Rfam says of the family: Transfer RNA (tRNA) molecules are approximately 80 nucleotides in length. Their secondary structure includes four short double-helical elements and three loops (D, anti-codon, and T loops). RNAcentral also lists the same sequence under 1 other name. The record is from RNAcentral. Lineage: Bacteria; Bacillati; Bacillota.